CAGAGAAUGUCCCAGGACCCCCAAAGUGCACUGUGUGAAGAAGUAUCUGUCUCCCCAAGCAGUGCUAGCCAACGCUCCCGGGCCUUCCUGAGGCUGGGUUUGGGAUGGGGCUCCUUUUACACCAGCAAUCCCCUUAGACUAGAGCUACCCCCGCAGUAUCUGGGAUCCAUGUUAGUUAGCACUGAGAGGUUUCCCAUUCCUUUCUUGUCUCAAGUGAUACUUAAAACAAUUUAACUAAAACUUCAGUUUUUAAUUCCUGGACAUGACCUUCUCAUUUAGUUUCAGGUUGUUGACCAGAGUAGGCUUCCCCUCCAUGAUCAAAGCUGCCGCCCCAGCCCUUGCUAACAACAAAAGCUUAUUUAUUUUGUUCAAUGAGCCAACUUGAACUUUCCCCCAAAGAAUUUUUUGAAAGUUUAAAAUAUCAAGCAUUAAGCAUGUAGGACUUUGCCACCCACACUUAUGGCCCAAAGGAGGGAGAUUGCCAUGGCAACACCUCUGGUAAGGAGGAUGGAAUCAGCCUGAAGGGUGAAGAAAAUACCACAAUGGGACACAGGUCGCCCAGCUAGCCAGCAGGCCCCUUAUGAUGCUAGGAGUGUUUGCUUAAGUCUUAGGAAUUAAGUCAUAAUUGAAAGAAAAAAAAUGUCCAACAGCAAACAAACAUAUUAAGAAGUGGAGGUGGGGUCACAAUGUAGGUAGAGGAAUUUUGAAAGUCAAUAGUGAAUGGAUGUGACUCUGUCUUCUUACAAAAGCUUUUGUGCAGAGAGACCAGUCCCCAUCCAUCAGCAGAGGGGCACAGCCAACGGGAGAGAAAGAACCCAACAGGAAGGUCACUAGAGUAUAUUUGGUGUCAAAUGACCCUCAUUGGUAGCAUGUACCAAGACCCCACCUGUUCAUUCUCUGUGACCCAGUCAUCCCUUAGUAUUCCUUAACAACCUGCCCAUAGAAAAUCCUCUUCACUCCAAAAAAGGGAUGUGGUAACAAAGAAAUCAAGUGCAAGAUUAUUGUUAUGUCUGUAGAACUAAAAAUAGAAAGGAAAAAUUUAAUUCUAACAGUAGGAGAGGCAUUAAACCAUGAUGUAACACCAUAAUGAAAGAUGAUGUAGACAAUAAAAUCAAUGGUUAAGAAAUCUUCACAAUACAUGGAGAAAGUUUCAUUCUUUUUACAUAAAAGAUAAAAAUCAUCAUUGCAAAUACAACAUGAUCUAAAUUAUGGUGAAAACAGAGGAGAAACUGGAAGGAAAUGUGUCAAACAACUAGUAGUUUUUGUCUUUUUGUCUUGAGACUGAAAUGAAUUUAUUUUCUACUUCCUUAAGUUUCUAAAAAGGGCAUGUA
Molecule: long non-coding RNA, 1331 nt
Filed under: Marmota monax (woodchuck)
Lineage: Eukaryota; Metazoa; Chordata; Mammalia; Rodentia; Sciuridae
Source: RNAcentral